GCCUCUUCCGACCUGAGUCUCCCCCUUUCCGAAGACCUUCCCAACCCCUUCCCCUUCCUGUUCCCUGUCUCUCUCCGACUCUCCCUGACUCACACCUCCGCCCCUGAUCGCCGCCACCCGCCAUAGGCGUCUCCCAGAAGAGUCAGCGCUCUUCCCCUGAGGCCCUGGCCCCCUGCUUCAUCUCUGUUGCCAAUCUAGACGAGUACCCCCCCCCCUCCCCCCCCACACCGCGGCGCCCAAUCCUUGGACCUAAUCCUCUCGCACCAUUACUCUGUUCAGAUCAAUCGGUGCAGAGCACGGACGAGGACGAAGGUGCGGAACACGACUUCGUCAGUCAUUGUUCCUCCUGAUGCCUCCCUGAUCCCUCCCAACAUUACUUGCAGCAGCCCCACUGGUGCUUUGCCCUCGCAUCGCAUCGUUUCUGUUCAGAUCGGUGCAGAAUGCACCUUCAUCGGAUCCGAUUGCUCGACCUCGCAGUCCUCUGCUGUCAACUUCUCCCUCAUACAACACAGUAUUCUUGAGGUAGACUUUCUUCCCAUGGUUAUGGCAGCAAAAUUUCAGAUUACCUUUUUUUUUUUAUCUCAAGUCAUGACCCGUGGAUUGUUGUUACAUGUUUCUGUAGAGAUAGUGUUGCAUUGUUGCAUUAUAUUAGCUGUUUCUGAUAACCAAAUCACCUGUCUUAAAACUAAAUUAACAAGUCACGGCCCCCGUCUACUCGGUGUUCUGGUGUGCUUUCGGUUUUCUUUCAAGCGGAGGAAGAAGAUGCAGGUUCGAAGUAGCAAUUAGAAUGUCAGUUUCAUCUAUAGUACUCUUUAUUUUAUAUACACAGUACACUACCAGUUCUCUUCCUUGCCUAUUUUUUUUGACCGAAAACUGUAGGGGAAACCCCUAUUAUUCUCUUCCUUGCCUAGAGACACGGCUACUAAAAGAUCUCAGAAUAAAACAGGCAGGUUUGUGCACUUUCUUCAUUGUGGUUAUGGCAUCUUCAAUUGUUAAGUUUUUUUUUUCUAGAACUAGCCCCGGCAAUUAAAUAAAGAUUUAAGGUGUAAGUCAUCUUUUCCACUUUCAAGUGAUUCCACUUGAGUCAUGCAUGUUACUAGGUUAUCAUAUUCUACCCCAACUACUCGACAACAUGUGAGCUAGCAUAAAAUGGAAAAGAUGUAAUUAACACCAAAAAAUUAUGACCUGCUCUUCUAUUGAUAUUUUAUUUGUGCUACCUGCUCUUCCAUUUAUGUUUUAUUUGUUCAGAAUAGAUUAUGAUAUUUAUAUAAGUACAGAUGGGUAAACGCUCUCAUGUAAUUGCAGUAUUAAUCUAUCAUUUAUUAUUAGUUGGCUAUACGUGUUGUGUGCCUAUGCAAUAUUUUUUGUUUGGUUUUUUUAGCUUCGGUUCCUUUGUCUGCUAAAACAGUGGGUAAUGGUAUGAUAGCACAUACAAGUGCUUAGGUGACUGUCAUGGUAUGUAAUACACAACACAUGACACCAUAGAAAGCGUAGCACAGAACUGAAACAAUUACUUAUUACCUCACCGUCAUGGUGGAUGCAAUGGACUUACAGGUUUUUACUAAUUUUUUAUAAAACACCUAUGUUAGCACCAAAAAUACACCUGACAUUUAGACCAACGCUCUUGACAAUCUACUUAACCGCAUAGAUUAGGUCAUCAGGCUCGCACAUGUGUGUGGUCCCCGUGCUAGAUUAAUUACAUCAAACAAUUGCUUUUAACUCCCACGCUUGAGAGCUCUCUUUAUUUGAAAAAAUACAUAUCAAGAGGUGCAUCUACAAGUUUCAAAUAUCUCCAAACAAUCUCUUUGUUGGGAACACACUAUGCAUUUGUACAUUUUCAUGAAAAUAUGCUUUCAUUUGCAGGGAACAGAAAAGUGGUGGUCUACAUCAGCAAAAAAAUGCAGCUAGCCAGCUACUAUGAUCGCUAGAGCUUAGGAGCCAAAAAAUCCUCUCAAGGCACACCACAUCUGGUAAAGCAUGUACGUUGGCUUUCUUCGUUGAUGUGUCAGGUUAUCUCUUUUUUCUGUCCUUCAAUCUUCCUAUACAAAGUUUCCUCGAAUGUUUGCUUUAUGUACAAAAGAAUCACUAGAAUUGUUUAACCAUAUCUGUCAACUGAUCGGACACUUUCUGUUUCUGUUAAGGAAGGGCUGACAUACAAAGUGUUGUGUGUAAUUGUGUAUAUGAGCAACUGUGUGCUUAGCUCCCAAGAUACAACACCACCAGAGGUAAAAACUGCAUCAUGUUUAUUAUCUGUAGGUGAAGUCAUGACUCAGAUUUAAUGUAUUGCAGAUAAAAGAAAUUGAAAACUUCAAAAGGCAACUCUGGGGUAAUUUGUCUUUCGUUUCGAAUUAUGCAUGAGUACACUCACAACAAUAAGUUCGGCUUCAUCAGAAGUUUUUCUUGAUACAAAAAACAUGUCGGGUUGAUAUAUACAUUAGUCAAGUUCUGCAGAUGCAAAAUAAAUUACUUUAGUUUAUACAGGAAAAUAGAAAUAAAGUGUUUUCUUUGAAGGCUACCAUUUCUUAUAGUUGCGCAUUCAAGUUUAAGCUCCGACGUAAGAUUUUGCUUCGGUUGGUAUCCCAAAGAAGAUCUAUUGAGCUGAGAAUGCCAUGUGUUGUUACACUUGAGGUUGCAAUCUAUUAUGUAUUGUGUAUUUCAUGCUUUACCUAGCUCUAUUGUGCAUUUCUUAUGUAUUUUUUAUUAUUAUAAAUGAACCCAAAACCGAGUACCUUUCACAUUCCUGCCUUUUUUCUGUAACUUCGAUUCUAUUGAUUAUAUAUGUUUGUUCAGAAGGUUAAUACCUUGCUCAAUGGAUUAUAUACAUAACAGAUGUAAAUAGUAUCCUGUUCUUAUUAAACUUGGCAACUUUAAUGAUAUUUGGCAAGAAUUUGCUUGCGACCUCCUACAAAACUACCCAUCCCUUUUUCCGGACAAGCUACUCAUUUCAUGAUUUGAGCAUAGAGAAUAGCAAUGAAGUUGUAUGUAUGUUCUAUACCACAGUUCAUGCGUUGUUUGAUGAAAUUGGCAAGUUUUUUUACUAGCACUUCUAAAAAAUGUUUCAGCAUAUGUGUCGGCAGCUUGGUUAAAGAUGAAGCUGGCCCAUUUUCCUGUAAUAGCAUUGAAAAUUAUAUAAUUCUUCUUGGGUUCAAUUUGCUUUUAUGUAAAAAUCAUGAUAUGGGUAAGCUUUAGCACUUGCUCCGCAUGUCUACAAAUAGUUUUUUAAUCUCUUUCGAGAGUUUACAAAUUAUUCAUAUCAUGGAAUUAGCACAAAAAACAUUCUUUAAGUGUUCCCUUUUAUAAGAUGUUUUUUUCAACCAUGCUUUGGAACUUAGCACGUUGGUUUGGUUUGUUCCCGGGGUAGACACUAAAUCAUUUGUUUACAUUCAUAAGGAAUUAUUUUACUUUGAUUUUGCCUUCUGGCUUGGAGAUUUAACAUGCAUUUUUCUUUCCGGUUACUUGGGAAGGCAAAAGGAUGAGUUGGAUGUUGUCAUGUCAAUUAUGAAUAUUUGCAUUCAAUCUUAAUGCUUUUUAAACUUCACAUUUAUAGCUAUAAUUAUUUACAGGUGAAUUGCAUGUAUAUGUGGUCAUCUUCAUUAUCUACUUGGUACAGAGGUAAUAUAUGAUCAUCUUCAUCAGGCACGGUUGCAAAGAACUCGCCAUGGUGUGAAAACUCACCAACUGGAUAGCAAGGGCGUAAGUACAACAGUACCUAUUGGCUACCAUUUUCUCUUUUUGCAAACAUAGAUGAUUGUGCAUUUAGAGUUGUGAAUUAGUUUGUCCAUGGAAACUGUUUUAUGCUAUCCAUGAUUUGUUGUAAGUCCAUUCCCUAGAUUUCUUUAUUCCUUUCGAAGUUGCAUGUACCAAAGAAUUUGUUGUAGAAAUUGGACGAAAAUAUUUUAAUCAAGUGCAUCUGCAAUUUCUUUGUAAAAGAAAA
RNA transcript from Brachypodium distachyon (stiff brome), 3934 nucleotides. RefSeq lists it as uncharacterized. NCBI's taxonomy places the organism in Eukaryota, Viridiplantae, Streptophyta, Magnoliopsida, Poales, Poaceae. The record is from RefSeq and is a predicted model, not a curated record. The transcript has 2 exons.